CUUCGACCUGAGCUCA
This 16-nucleotide ribosomal RNA is filed under the name Botryococcus braunii. RNAcentral's name for it is "partial 28S ribosomal RNA". Lineage: Eukaryota; Viridiplantae; Chlorophyta; Trebouxiophyceae. The record is from RNAcentral.